AUUGAACGCUGGCGGAAUGCUUUACACAUGCAAGUCGAACGGCAGCACGGACUUCGGUCUGGUGGCGAGUGGCGAACGGGUGAGUAAUGUAUCGGAACGUGCCCAGUCGUGGGGGAUAACGUAGUGAAAAUUACGCUAAUACCGCAUACGAUCUAUGGAUGAAAGCGGGGGAUCGCAAGACCUCGCGCGAUUGGAGCGGCCGACAUCAGAUUAGGUAGUUGGUGGGGUAAAGGCCCACCAAGCCAACGAUCUGUAGCUGGGCUGAGAGGACGACCAGCAAAACUGGAACUGGGACACGGGCCAGACUCCUACGGGAGGCAGCAGUGGGGAAUUUUGGACAAUGGGCGAAAGCCUGAUCCAGCCAUUCCGCGUGCAGGAUGAAGGCCCUCGGGUUGUAAACUGCUUUUGUACAGAACGAAAAGGUUUCUACUAAUACUAGGAGCUCAUGACGGUACUGUAAGAAUAAGCACCGGCUAACUACGUGCCAGCAGCCGCGGUAA
This 500-nucleotide ribosomal RNA is filed under the name uncultured bacterium. RNAcentral describes it as "partial 16S ribosomal RNA". It matches the Rfam family "Bacterial small subunit ribosomal RNA", at positions 30 to 523 of the family's 1533-position model. The record is from RNAcentral.